AUGGAGGAAGCAGGGAAGGGUCUUGAUUGGGUUCAUUCGAAGGAGAAAUACAAGGAAUAUUUGAAGCAGCUUCCAGAUUUCAGCUCCAGCAAGAGCAAGGCAGCAUCUGUGGCAAACCCUCAUGUGGUCCAGAAGAGCAAAGGAGUUACAAUGAAGAAGAAUCUAAAGUUUCCUCAAACCAAGCAACAGAUGCCGAGGGCAGAUGUAGAAAUAAAUGUGGACAAGGAAGCUGUGGCGCGAACUGUUGUGCCAACUGUAGUGAUUAGAGAGCCAACCACCACUGAAGAUGUGUCAGCAAUACCUGUUGAGCCUACAACCAUCACAGGAGUUCAAUAG
Molecule: ribosomal RNA, 336 nt
Filed under: Triticum aestivum (bread wheat)
Lineage: Eukaryota; Viridiplantae; Streptophyta; Magnoliopsida; Poales; Poaceae
Description: partial small subunit ribosomal RNA
Source: RNAcentral